UACGGGGGGUGCAAGCGUUGUUCGGAUUCACUGGGCGUAAAGGGUGCGUAGGUGGCGAGGUAAGUUUGAUGUGAAAUCUCCGGGCCUAACCCGGAAACUGCAUCGAAUACUAUCUUGCUCGAGGGUUGGAGGGGAGACUGGAAUACUUGGUGUAGCAGUGAAAUGCGUAGAUAUCAAGUGGAACACCAGUGGCGAAGGCGAGUCUCUGGACAUUUCCUGACGCUGAGGCACGAAAGCUAGGGGAGCAAACAGG
Molecule: ribosomal RNA, 253 nt
Filed under: uncultured bacterium
Lineage: Bacteria
Description: partial 16S ribosomal RNA
Rfam family: Bacterial small subunit ribosomal RNA
Source: RNAcentral